RNAcentral lists this ribosomal RNA (286 nucleotides) under unidentified marine bacterioplankton. RNAcentral describes it as "partial 16S ribosomal RNA". It matches the Rfam family "Bacterial small subunit ribosomal RNA", at positions 56 to 339 of the family's 1533-position model. The record is from RNAcentral.
UGCAAGUCGAGGGGUAACAGGGAGCUUGCUUCGCUGACGACCGGCGCACGGGUGCGUAACGCGUAUAGAACCUUACCUUUUACGAGGGGAAUAGCCUUUAGAAAUGAAGAUUAAUCGCCCAUAGUAUUGUAGACUGGCAUCAGUUUACAAUUAAAGAUUUAUCGGUAAAAGAUGGCUAUGCGUCCUAUUAGUUAGUUGGUAAGGUAACGGCUUACCAAGACAUCGAUAGGUAGGGGUCCUGAGAGGGAGAUCCCCCACACUGGUACUGAGACACGGACCAGACUCC